AUGUUAUCUGUCAUUCACGAUGCAGAGGCGGGCCUGGAGGCCAUCCAUCCGGGACUCUGGGGAGAACUCUCCAAUCAGUGCUCAGAGGGAGAGGAAGGGCGGGCUUCCGCAACCUCGCGGGCUUUUCUUCCUCAGCGACUCCGCUCCUCAUCCUUCAAGCUGAGAGUUCUCUGCUCCAGGGACUCAGGUGACUUUGUGCAGCCUGUGUCCCCCCUCCUCUCCCCCCCCAUCUCGGGUCCCUGGAGGUUCCUCGGGAGGACGCCGGGUCACCACAGAAAACAAAAAUGGUGAGUUUGAGACCAAGGCUGAAGGUACGUGUCACCCGGCGUACGGGUGAGCUGGGGAUGGCUGCGGAGUCCCUGCUGGCGGGUGGCCCUGUCCCUUGGUCUCAUGGGGUGAGCUUGGUUUUGGGUUUUUGAGGUGAGCUGCUGAACAUGGCAGAGUCCCCGCUGGAGGGUGGCCCUGGACCCUGUCCCCUGGUUCCCUGGGUUUGGAAGGGCAGCUCAGGUCCCUGGUGUCCCCUUUGCUCCCUGCUGGUGGCCCAACCCACUCUUCCCAACUUGUAGGAAGCAGGGUCACAAAUGCACCUUCCUUCUCCCAGUGGAGCUCCUCUGGAAGCUGCAGUAGGUCCUCCAAAUUGCAGGCGCCUCCUGCCCUCUAAAACACCACCUUCCCUCCACCUCACAGCUUACCCAGACGUUCAUUCUUCCCACUGGGUUCAAAUGGACACCGUCCGCUAAUUGUCACUUUUCAUCUAGUGAAAUAUUGGAAAUAAUAUUUCUUUUCUUUUAAUUGGGGAUCCAAACUCGGGGAGCUUUAUCAGCAAAAUCCCCAGCCUCCACUUUUACUGAAUUUUGUGAUCUGCACCCACUUGUUGUGGAAGCUGGUCUCCAACUUGUGAUCCUUCUGUUACUGCUGUUUACCAGUGAUGAGUCCUUGCUUCCCUGAAUGCUGAAGUAUAACACCAGAGAAGUACAUCAAGGCAAAUGUAGCAUGGAAAGUAGAAGGUUUAUUAAAGGACAGCAGAAAAGACUUCUCCCCACAGGUAGAAGGGGACCCAAAAGGUGGAAUCCCUGUGAGAGGGGAGUCUUCCCUCUUUUAUAGCUAAAGUCUUCUUUCCGCUUUCCUACAAUUUGUUUUUCAUUAUGUUGCAGUGAUAGAAUGCAGGUGGGAAGAUCCAAAAGGUGGGAGAUAGGUGGGAUGGAGGAAUAAUCUGGGCAGGAAGGGCCUGGGGUGGCUUUUGGAUUAGCACUUCCCUGUUUGCUGGGAACUGUUUCAUUAACAGUUCCUUACAAUGGAUACAGGCCUUGGGGACAUUAACAUUUCAAUUGCAUCUCUGGUUUCCAGGACUCCAUUCUCUAUAAGGGCCUCUGUUUUAUACAUCUUACACAAUAUUAGACCCAAUUUGCCUAACUACCUAUCUGUAAAUCUGGCUUCUGCUUCAGCCUCCAAAGUUCCUGGGAUUACAGGCCUAUAUCCAGGGGGCAAAACUGUGACUUAUGCAGUCAAGGGGAGAAAUAGAGAAUGUCCACACACUUCUGUCCCUUUCAAUGCUUUAUUCACUCAAAUUACUGGAUACAGUUUAACUGUAUAGGUUCUUAAUCAAGAAAACAACAAUCCUUAAUGUAGGCACUGCAAUAGACAUAAUCAAUUGACAGCAAAAAAAUUCUAGCUUAAUUAAUUCACAGCAAACAAUUCUACAUUCAUUCUAAGCACUGCAAAACACACUUAAUCAUGACAGGCUAAUGACAGACAUUCCCUCUGCAUGCUAAGUUCAAAGGUCUUAUGUCUUAGGCUUUGAGUCCAGCAGAUGCACACUCACUCAGACCAUGGUGAUCAUGUCUGGAACCAAGGCAGGCUUUUCCUGGUGGAGUGGAUGACCAGUUGAGGGGGAGGUUGUAGAGAGGAGUUGCAGCUCUCACCAAGGUUCAGAGGAGGUAGUAGAGUUUGAGAAUGGUGAGGAUCUCCCAGGGACUCAGGAAAGAUGCCAAGUGAUGGGAUGUCAGGUCCUCAGCAGGCUCUCCAGCUUAAGUGCAUCCUUGUUUCAGCUGGCUGAAUUCCUGUUCAUCAGCUCUAUCAUUUAUACUAAAUUUUGGGGCUUUUGAUCACCCUUUCAAUCGUUAUCAGCUACCACCUUAUUUCUCAGUGACAUCAUUUACCCUGGGGUCAUCUCCACCCUGAUUUUCUUGCCUUUCCCUCUUAUCAGGCAAGGACAGCCUGCCACAGGCUUCAGGGUGAGGGGAAGUAACUUGUUUGAGGCCUUACUGGAGGGAUCUGUGGAUGUGCCUGGUGAAACUGAAGGUCUUUUAAAAUGAAGUUGCUUAGAUUCAGGCCUAAGGCCAUUUUAACAAGGCCUGUGCCACUGUCCCUGAUAAGAUGAACACUUUUGAAAGCAUUUGUUUUCUAUUUGUGAAUAUUAUACUUGAGGGGAAAGAAUAAUCACUUAACAGUUCCCUGUGUUUGGUCAAAAUAAUUACUUUAAAAGGAAAAAGGCAUUUGUUUAUAGAAUCUAGGGAUAUUGAAUCUUGGGUUAUGUACCAAGCCCCCCUGCCCCACUUUGACAUAAAUUAUUUAUUUACUUAAAUUUGUUUUUAUUAGUUAUACAUGGCAUUAUAAUGCAUUUUGACACAGCACACAUAAAUAGAAUGUAACUGCUCCUUUUUCUGGUUGUACUUGAUGUGGAUUCACACCGGUCCUGUAGUCAUAUAUGCAUAUAGGAUAAUAGUGUUUAAUUCAUUCUUCUGUUCUUCAUCCCCAGCUCAUUAAAAUUGAUUUUCAGAUGGGGUCUGGCUAUGUUGCCCAGCCUGGCCUGUAAGUCCUCACCCUCCAGCUUCAGUUUCUCAAGCUGUUGACAUUAAAGGCAUUGGCAAUCCCAGCUAUGGAAAAUAGUUUAUUUUGAUCCAAAUAUUAAUGACCAUAUUCAGGAACAUGGAUUCAAGUGACCCUAAAUUAUGUAUGUGUCCCACCCUGAAAGACAAGGAUUGAACCCAGGGGCACUUAAUCACUGAACCACAAUCAGUUCUUUUUAAGUUGUAUUUUGAGACAUGAUCUCACCAAGUUACUUAUGGCCUCACUAAGUUGCUGAGGCUCACUUUGAAGUUAGCAAUCCUCCUACAUUAUCCUCUCAAGCUACUGGGAUUACACUUGUGUGGCACUGUGCCUGGCCUACAAGAACUUUUAUAAAAGAAACUGUAUCACUACAUGUACAAUUGCAUUGGUAGGAUCAUCAGAUUGGUGGCCUACAGAAAAAGAAAGAAAGGAAGGAAGAAAAAAGAAAUUUCUUCUGUUGUUAUUAUAUUCUUACUUUCAUAGAUGGUGGGGACUAGAUGUCUGGUAAGGGUAGUGAUAUAUUCUGAGAAAUUUAAUAGUUUUGAGAAUUGUGGUCUGAUACAGAAAUUAAGAUAAUUGGCUAUUAAAGGGCUUAAGAUAGCCCAAGAUAAUUUUUGCUCUCCAUAUAGAACCCUGCCUUUUCAUGCUCAUGGUGGUCUGGUUAGCCAAGUCAAGUACUCUGAAGGUUCUUUGAUGUAGAUGCAACUGUAUAGAGAACUUUUGUUCACAGCUGUAAAAAUCUUGUGCUUUUCCUUUUAUCUUCCUUAGGUGUAGACACCAUGUCAGAUUUCUUGGGCAGAGGUUCCCUUUGGACGCCUCACAGGGUCCCAUGUCCUCAGCCACUAUUCUCUCCUGGAGCUGCCACAAGGUUCCCACAGCCUCCCUGCAGGGUGAACAGAAUUUCAGGCCCUGGGUCAGCUCCUCCUAGAGGACAGCCUGAGAUGUGGGGUGCAGCCUCUCAGGGAAGCUGUUGGGGUCCCUGGGCUGAGGAAUCUCCUGGAACAGGCCUCCUCUAGACAGCUACUUCCUUGGGACAUUUUUUUUUCCCAAGAUCUGUUCCCAUUCCUUGGAGACAGGUGGACAGUCAGCCUGUGGAUGCUGGUGCUGAGGGGCCAGGUCACCAGUGAUUCCUGCCCUUUUAGUGUGAAGGAGCGAAACCUCUCCCAGAGCAUAAGGAACACCCACCUCAGUGCAGAGCUGUGCAAACCUGAAAAGCCUCAUAGACUGGAGUCAUGGUCUAGGUCCCUGGGAGUGUGAUCCUAGAGGCUUUCAGGAAGCAAGACCAGGAGGGGUCAAGUUCCAGAUGUCAGGGACCUUCCCUGACCCUUGAACCUGACACAUGUGUGCUCCUUCAUCACCAAAGCUUUCUGUGUAUCACUUUGAAAUGAUCUGCUCACUUUUUUGAGGCCCAGGUUUAUGUUUUUCAGAGCCAAAUGGGAUAGACUACUAUUAAAUAGACAAGAAAGAAAUGGAUUUUAAAAAGUCUAGUUACAUUUCCAUUGUUAAAAAAUUACAGCCAGGUACACUGGUGCACACCUGUGAUCCUUGCUGUUCCAGAGGCUGAGGCAGGAGGAUUGCAAACUUGAGGACAGCUUAGCAACUUAGCCAGGCCUUAUAUGUGGGGAUGUGACUUAUCAAUAAAGUUCAUCUGGGUUUAAUCUCUGAUCCCAAACCAAAGAAAAAGAACAGAACAGAAAAACAAACAAACAAAUAAACAAAAACAUCUAAUUUAUCUUUUGCUAUCCCUGAGUAUGCAUAGACAAUUGGUGAGAUUUGAUCUUGUCUUUUCAAUGAUUUCCAAUUGAAAUCCAUGUCCUAGAUUCCAGAAUGCCACUUAAGAUACAGAGCAACUCUGUCUACCAUUAUUGCUGCAGAAAAUGAAUCCAUUUCUACAAAAAUUGUGGUGGAUAAAUGUAUGAAUUUGAUUUUAUGUAAAUUAGUUACAGUUGUUGACAAGCUGAUGAAUUUGACAGGGGAUGACAGUUUGUUGUUGCCCUUGUUGCCUGGACUUGGCAGGUUCAUGUUAGCUGUGUGGUUUUUGGUAUCAGGAAUUGAACCCAGAGGUGCUUGGCCACUGAGCCACAUCCCUGGCCCCUUUUAGAUUCUUCCUUUUGAGUCUGGGUCUUGCUACAUCACCUUGGGCCUCUGACCCCUAAACCACUGGGGUUACAGAUGUGCACCAUCACACCCAUCUUCAUAAGAAGUUUUAAGGACAAUUUUGGCAAUACCUAAAAUACCCAACUGUGAUCAUUUAAUCAUUAAACAAUUUAUCAGUGAAAUAAUAAAUGACACAUGUUUUCUGAAAAGUAGAUAUAUAUAUAUAUAUAUAUCUAAGUAAGGUUGCUGAUCCUCUCACAAGCACUCCCACCAUGUCACCUGAUUCCUGUUCCCUCCUAAUUACCUCCUCCUAGGGCCACCCAAUUGGGAGCUGGCCUUUUAGCUUAUGAAACUUGGGAGUAAUAUAAAUGCUCUCUCUACUCUCUCUGUCCUGUACAAUAUUUUCACUGGUCUUAGAUACAGUGUACUAUUUUCAUUUUAGAUAUAGUUUUUCUUAAGUUCACCCAAAAAAACCCACAAUAAUCCAUGCCCUUAAUUUCACAUAAUUUACUGAAAUGCUCUUUGUUUUUUCAGAGAGUGUAGAUUAUGGGAAAGUUCAGUCUCCUUUGUAAGAAAGUGUGUUGUCUUUUCAUUGAUUUUUGUUGCCUUUCAUUGUGUAUCUUUUGUAUUAUAAUCUUUUUUAUCACUCAUUACAUAUAUUUUCAGGUUUUUGUUUUUUUCUUUGUGUGUGUGUGUGUGUGUGUGUGUGUGUGUGUGUGUAUGUAUGUACAUGGACUGUUGGGGAUUGAACCGAGGGCUAUCAAGUUCUUACUACUGAGCUACUCUCCACCCCAAGAAAAUUAGUAUUGUAGACUGUUGUUUACUUAUUUGCUUAUGUAUUGAGUGCUGGGAUUGAAGCCAGGGACUUGCUCAUGCUUAUGUUGUCCUCAAAAAAUGAAUUUCAAUGUGUGAACAACAUUUUGGAGGUGGGCAGGUGUUUUACUGGGGAAUAAACCUACAGGCACUUGACCACUGAGCACAUCUUCAGCCCUUCCUAUUUAUUUUGUACCUAUUUAUUUUAUUUGGUAUAGUUGUAGAUGGACAGAAUACCUUAUUUUGUUAAGUUUUCUGUGGUGCUAAGGAUCAUACCCAGUGCCUCAUACAUGGUAGCGAGUGCUCUGCCACUCAGCUACAAUGCCAGUCCCCCCAUUUAUAGUUGAUGUAGGCCAAGAAUCACAAAAUUUCUGGGUGUCUUGCUAAAUUCCUGAGAGAGCCUCCAACUUGCCGUUUCCCUGCCUUGACCUCCCUAGUGGCUAAAAUUACAGGUGCACACCAUCACACCAGCAGUUGGAAUGACUUUUGAGGACUUAUCAUCCAAUUUCUUUCCAGAUGGAAAUAGUAUUGAAAAUAAGUUUCUUUGCUUUUGUUCAUAGUUUUGAAAUUUGUAACUAUGACUCUUCUUCUUUGCUUUAUUUUUUACAUUAUUAUUUGGGAAAGGUAUUCAUUAUGUACUAUUUUUUCUUAUGUUUAUAUUUGUUAAAGUUUAUGGCAUCGUGGUUCAUUCACUUCCUUAUUAAAUUGAUUUUGUUUUUCAGAGCAAUUUUAAGUUACAUAGUUUGUUAGUCAGUGUUCUCUAGAGGAGCAGCAUCAAGAGGAAAUAUGACUAUAAAUGGGGGCUUAUUAGAUUGGCCUACCUGACCCAAAGCUGGAUGUCCACAGUGGCAGUCUGCAGCUGGAAAGCUUGAGAAGUAGUAGCUGCAGAGUCCAAGAGGCUGAAGCCUCAGAACAAGAGGGAUCAAUGGUGCUGCCCUAGUCCAAACCAAAGGUUCUGGAACCUCCUGGAGAAUCACUGGCACAGUCCACUUUGGGAGAGUGAAGAAGGCAGAGUCUGAUGUCCUCAGGCCAUUGCAGAAGCCAUUGGAGAAGAAAGGGGCUUAAUCUGCUGCUACUUUCUUCUUCUUCCAACUUUUGUUCCAUCCAAGACACUGUCCUAUUGGAUGGUGCUGCCUAUACCUAAGGAGGUUCUCCAGUUUGGUUUGCUAUCCCAUAUGCAAAUCAUUUGUAGACACACCCUCAUGGACACACCCAGAGGCCUCUUAAUCACAGGUAUCUCUUAAUCCAAUGGGGUUGACAAUUCAAAUGAGUCAUUACACAUAUUAUCAAACACCAUUUCUCCACAUUUUGCAUUGAUGUUGGAUGCUUGUUAGUUACUGACUCAGUGUCCUACAUUUUAUUAACAGAGUGGAUGAAGCAACACCUUAUCCUCAGCUGAAAUCCAUCCUUUAUCUUGGGGUUCCUCCUCUGUGUGGUGUGUUUUGUGUGUCACACACUCUACAUAAUAAUGUCAUACAGAAGAGUUUCAGUGCAUCAAUAAUGUUGUCUUUUCCAGAAUGUUCUUGACUUGGAAUCUUACUGCACUAGGCCUUUCAGACUGGCUUCUCUCACUUACCAGUCUGUAUUUAAGGGUGCUGUGUCUUUCCAGGCUGCAGACCUCAUUUUCUGGGUGAUGUUCUUUGGUGUGGUUAAACUGCAGCUUGUCCAUUCAGCAUUGAAAGGUGCAUCUUCCUUGCUUCUAGCUUUGGGCAGUUCUGGAUAUGGCUGCUGUAGUCACUGCUGAGAAGUUUUCUGUGCAUAAUUUUCACCUCAUUUGCAUAGACAACUGGGAGUGUGGUGAAUUAAUUGUAGAGAGCACCAUGUUUAUUUUGUAAGAGUGUGACUAUCUUCCAGAGAGAGUGUUCUUCUUUCCAUUCACAUGAGCAAGGGAAGGGUUCUUGCUGAUUCAUGUUUUCACCGUCUUUUGGAGCUUUUGGUGUUUGGCAUUUCACCACUCCAGUGAGUAUCUGGUGGCACCUCAUGUUCAUUUUGAAGUUUCCUAAUUAUAUGCUGGUGAACAUCUUCUCACACAUUAACUGUGCCUAUUUAUUGAAUGAGUGUCUUUCCAAAUCUUUUUCCCACUUUCGAGUUGGUUGCUUAUUUUUUUACUGAGUAUUCUUCAUGUACGUUGAAUACCAACCAAGUGUCACUAUGUGUUUUGACAACAUUUUGUCCAGUUCUCCAGCAUGUCUUCUUCUCAUUCUCUCAAGUGCAUCUUUUGAAAAACAGAAACUUCAUUUUGAUCAAGUUCUAUUUACAAGUUUUUCACUCACAGAUCAUGUGUUUGAUGUUGCAUAUGAAGCUGUCAUGCCAGCCCAGAUUUCUCUGUAAGUACUUCUUUGUUAUUUUAGUGAAGUUUGAAAUUUUGCAUUUGGUACUACAAUGUACAGGCAAUUUUUUUGGUGGCGACAAGUGAACCCUGGGCCUCCUAUGUGCCAAGCAGGUGCUUUGCUAGAGCUGCAGCCCCAGCUGUGUGUCCUACUUUGAGACUAAGGCUCCACUGAGAGCUCUGUGACAUUUGUGAAAUGAGAAUGUUUUGUUUCUCUGUAUGUUAAUUAAUGUCCAAGUGCUUUGGCAACAAUGUCCAAAAGAGUAUAUUUUCCAUUGAUUUUCCUUUGCUCCUUUGUCAAAGAUCAGUGGAAUAUUUUUAUACUGUGCCAAAAACUACUGUGUCUUGAUGAUUGUAGAUGUUUAGUAGUUGUUAACCUCAGGUAGUGUUCAUCCUGUGAAUUGAGUGUUCAUUACUGUGUUGGUUGUUCUGGAUCUUUUGAUGCUGAAAACAUAACUUAAAAAAAUUUUUAUUGGGAUUAUAUUGAAUCCAUGAAUGAAAUUGGUAAGAAUUGAUGGUAACACUGAGGCUUCCCACCUGUGAACAUAAAGUAUCUCCAUAUAUUUUCCUUGUCUCUGAUAUUUUUAUUAGAAUUUAGCAGUUUUUGUCAUACAGAUUUUUGUUAGAUUUAUAUAUGAGAUUUCUCUUUUAUUAAUGCUGCAUAAGUGAUGUGUGUUUGUUUUUCUUUUUAUUUUGGUGCUGGGUGUUGGACUCAGGGCUGUUCUACCAUUGAGGUACAUUCCCAAAACUUUUAAUUUUUUGUUUAGAAGCAGAGUCUUGCUAAGUUUCCCUGAUUGGCAAGGAUCACAGGCAUGGCCUCCAUGCCCAGCUUCAUAUUUAUUAUUUAGCUUUUUGUUGUGAUGUUAAUGUUAAUUGAUUUUUUAAUUCUGAAUCAGCCUUGCAUGUGUGCUGUGUUCCUGGGCCCUACAGAGGCCAAUGUGAGUGGAUCUGGGCCACUGGGCUUGACUUUCCACAGUAGUAUGCUGGUCCGUGGAUAAUGUUAACUGAGUUUUAAAUUUGGAAUCAGUCUUACAGAGCUGUAAUAAUUUCCUCUUGGCUGUGGUUAUAAUUCUUUUUAUUUAUUUUUGGAUUCAAUAAAGUUGUUUGAUGAGGAAUUUUGCAUUCAUGAUCAUGAGAGUCUUUCAUAGUUUUCUAUUUAAUACUUUUCUUUAUGUAAUUAAUUUUGAUAAUAUGGUAAAAUAUGCCAUAUAAAGAAUUAGAAUGUGGGCUGGGGUUGUGGCUCAGUGGUAGAGAACUUCCCUAUCAUGUACAAGGUCCUGGGUUCAAUCCUCAGCACCACAUAAAUAAAUAGGAUAAAGCUAUUGUGUUCAACUACAACUAAAAAAAUAAAUAUAAAAAAAAAAGAAUUAGGAAGUUUUAACUCAAUUUCUGUUGUCUGGAAAUAACAGUAGAAAAUUGGUGGCAGAUCUUAAGUGUCUCAUGGAAUCCUGUUUGAGAUGUCUUGCCUUUCCUUUUUUGGGGGGGGCGUGGGUAGUAAUUAUAUAUUUUUAAAAUUUUUGAAAUAUGUUUUAGCCUUUCAUGGUUAAAGGUAUAAUAAACAAUGUUUGUCUGUAAAACAGACGGAUGAAGUACCCUUUGCCACUUAGAUUUCAGUUUGCCUGGACCAUCAUUGUGAUCUGUCUCCAAGACACCUGCUGUCACUCAUACUUUUUCCAUGCUAUGAAGAACAGCCCACUAAAGGCUUUCUCUUGGGCUCCUACCAACCUCUGUUGAUAUUGUCCUGCUUCAAAUGUCAUGUGUCUUAAGUCCUUGAGCAUGGUUCUUUGUGAGUGGCAGGGUCAUGGUCUGUUAGGUGGUCCUUUUGGCUGUUCCACACUGUGCAGAAAUCAUAGCCUGCUUAGAGACCCAAGUGGAGUGACCUGUUUCACAAGCAGUCAGUGUGGGAUAGUUCAGGAUUCUGGGCUGCAAACCUGCUGCUUUAACACACCCUGGAAGUGCUUGUACCUGAGGUUUCCUUGCACCAGCUGUGUUAUAGGAAUGAGGAAUCUCUUUGAUGACAGACCACCAUUGUACAUGUGGCCUAUCUUUAUCAAAGUGUCCUUGAGCAGAACGGUGGUGUGUGUCUCAUGACUGUACAUUAUCUGAGUGAGACAUCUGCUGUUCAGAAGAAUUUGACAAUCAUUGGACAUUCAUGGUUGCCAUGAGCUUUGGGAAAGGAUUUUCUGCUGUAUGUUAAGAAAACUAUUUUUCAAACCAAUAUAGUUUUGUAAGGCUGUUGUUUGGACAAGGUGACAUCUUGGGGUCAUCGAGUUCUUUCAGGGACACAUGCCAUCUUUCCACACACCCCAUUCUGCUUUGACAUUAACCACCAGAAAUUAUUAUAUUGUUGUCUUUAUUAACCAAUGUGCUUGAUUACUAAUUGGGUAAAUUUGUUCGGGAGUAAAGCACCUGGAAGAUUGUCUAACUGUUGUCUAUGAGGGAAACUCUUUAGUGACUCCAUACUCUGAGGGUGUGAGUUGGGGCUGAUUCUAGGCACUUCUUUAAGGAUGGAACAAUUGACUUUCAGAAGGAAACAGGAGAUCAGUAAAUACCAUGUUGUCUAUAUUAACUGUGUAGGCCCAAUGAGCCACUGUGGUUGGUAGGAUCUCUCAAAUGCUGAGUUUUGUGAUCCCAGCAAUUUCCUACUCAAUCAGCUUUCUUUUCUAAGGGUAAGUAAUAUGGAGAGUGCUAAUAUUAGCUCUCUACUGCACAGGAUGUUGGUAAGAAGGAGAUACAAUCAACAAAUAAGAUAAGGGUGACUCAGGAGCCCCUCUUACUUCCUGUGAACUCACCACAGGAAGGGUGUACAACACUCUAGUAUUUACCUUGUGUGCGGCCCAAUUCUACUGUUGGAGUGACUGUGAAGUAUUAAAUGCACUGAAGAUUUCAAUGACCAAAUCAUGGAAUUAAUCGGGAGGCCAGGGAAUCAUGUGAACAUCAUGCAUGUUGAGUAUACAUUUCUCAUGCUGUCAAAUCUCUCCUGGCCGCCACUACACAUUUGUGGGAUAUUUUAGAUCUCAGUGACCUUUGAGGAUGUGGCUGUGAACUUCAUGCAGGAGGAGUGGGCUUUGCUGGAUGCUUCCCAGAAGAACCUUUACAGAGAUGUGAUGCUGGAAGUCCUCAGAAACCUGGCAUCUAUAGGUAAUAAUUUGUGUAUUUAUUUAAUUAGAGAAUUUGUGUUAUUUUUUUUUAUUCAUGUAGAACAUGAAAACACAAUCAGUUGGUGAAUUAUUGUAGCAUAAAAUUCACCUAGGAUUUGAAAAAUCAUUUCUAGCUCUUAAAAAUUUUAAAUGAUGUGGUUUGACAUUUUAGGAAAUAAAUGUGAUGAGAAGAACUUUGAAGAUCAGAUCAAACAUUCUGGAAGCAAUGUAAGGUAAUUGUACUCACAAGAGGAAUCCUUGAGGGAAUCUGAGAAUGCCAUAUAAUUUUUAAAACCAAUGCAAGAAAUUUGCACAACUUUAAAUGUAUUUAUUCUUAUAAGAUUUUUUACCAGAAAUAUAUACUUCACUGGGACUGGGGUUGUGGCUCAGUGGUAGAGCAUGCUUGAGGCACUGGGUUCUCUUCUCAGCACCACAUUUAAAUCAAUAAAGUCUAUUGACAACUGAAAUAAAUUAUAUAAUUUAACUGUAAAAGAUAUUCAGUCUUUUCAAAGUGCUUGACUUGCAGAAAGUAUUAUGAAAUUGCAUAUGUGAAUAUCACUAUUUGGAUAAUAACCAUAGGCAUGCUGUAUUGCAAAGCAUUGUUUCCUCUCAAUCUUUUUGUUCUGGCAAUUUGAACAAGUUUGAAUAACCUAGGCUUUACCUCAUGUUGGUAGUAACAUUAGCCUAGGACCUUAAAUAAAUACAACAUCAUGAAUUAAUCAAGUAUUAUUAAUGUGCUGGUCAUUCUUCAAAGAAGUCUUAUGCUAAACUUCAAAGGCAAAGAACAGUGUGGGGAAAGUUUCAAUGAGACUCCAAUUCUUAAGCAAAGAAAAAUUUUAAUAGAGUAAAUUCAUGUGACUGCAUUAUGUGUGCCAAAGACUUCAUAUGCCCUUCAUUCCUUCAUAGGCAGAUCACAUCUCAGUAUGGACACGAACGCUACAAGCAUGAAGAAUGAGAAGAGAAGCCAUGUGAAUUGAAACAAUACAGGGAAUCUCUGGUUUCUCUCAAAAGUGUUCACACACAAAUGUUAACACAAACUGGAGAUGGACCCUAUGAAAAUACAGUAUGUGGGAAAGUCAUCAGUUGUUCCAAUGACAUUCAAAGGCAUGAAGAUUCUCAUACUGGGUGGCAACCUGAUGAAUGUCAACAAUGUGAUGAAGUCUCUUCUCCCACAGGUGUUCAAAGACACACAAGAACACAUAGUGGAUGUAAACCUUUUCAAUGUGAGGUAUGUGGGAAAGCCUUUCAUUCCCCCACUUUAUAUAGAAAACAUGAAAGAACUCAUUCUGGAGAGAAAUCCCAUGAAUGUAAAGAAGGUGGUAAAACCUUGGUUUCACCCACAAGUCUUCACAGUCACAUGAUCACACACACUGGAAAAGUACUUUUUAAAUGUAACGUAUGUGGGACAGACUUUGCUUACCGAAGUUUAUUUAGAAUACAUCAGAGGAAACAUACUAGAGAGAAACCCUAUGAAUGUCAACAAUGUGGAAAAGCCUACACUACUUCAUCUUACCUUCAGAUACAUGAACAAAUCCAUAAUGGAGAGAAUCCCAAUGAAUGCCAACAAUGUGGAAAAGUCUUCACUACUUCUUUUUCCCUUCACAGACAUGAACGAACACAUACUGGAGAGAAGCCCUAUGAGUGUAAGCAGUGUGGCAAAGCCUUUGCUCAGUCCUCUAACCUUCACUCACAUGAAAAAACUCAUACAGGAGAGAAGCCCUAUGCAUGUCAACAAUGUGGGAAAGCCUUCAGUACUUCUUCCUACCUUCAGAUACAUGAGCAGACUCAUACUGGGGAGAAGCCCUAUGAAUGUAAGCAGUGUGGCAAAGCUUUUACUCAGUCCUCUAGCCUUCACUCACAUAAAAAAAAAAAACUCAUACAAAAAAGAAACCCUAUGAAUGUCAACAAUGUGGGAAAGCCUGCACUACUUUGUCUUACCUUCAGAUACAUGAACAAAUCCAUAUUGGAGAGAAGCCCAAUGAAUGUCAACAAUGUGGAAAAGUCUUCACUACUUCUUUUUCCCUCUGCAGACAUGAAUGGACUCAGAGAGGAGAGAAGCCCUAUCAAUGUCAACAAUGUGAUAAAGUCUACACUACUGCCUUUUACCUUCACAUACAUGAACAAACACAUUCUGGAGUGAAGCCCUAUGAGUGUAUGCAGUGUGGAAAAGCCUUUGCUGAAUCUUCUCAGCUUCACCAACAUCAACAAACUCAUACUGGGGAGAAGCCCUCUGAAUGUCAACAAUGUGGAAAAGCCUUUGCUAAAUCCAGUCACCUUAAGAGACAUGGAAGAACACAUACUGGAGAGAAGCCCUAUGAAUGUAAGCAGUGUGGCAAAGCCUUCGCUCAAUCCCAUCAUCUUCACAGACAUGAAAAAAAGCAUAUUGGAGAGAAGCCUUAUGAAUAUCAACAAUGUGGAGAACGCCUUGACACAUCCAGUGAACCUCACAUACAUGGAAGAAUUCAUGCAGAAGAGAAACCUAAUGAAUACCAACAAUGUGGAAAAGUCUUCAUUUCUUCCUUUUUCCUUCACAGACAUGAAGGGACUCACACUCAAGAGAAACCCUAUGAAUGUAAGCAGUAUCACAUAGCUUUCACUCAGUCCUCUCAUCUUUGCUCACAUGAACGAACUCAUACUGGAGAGAAGCCCUAUGAAUGUCAACAAUGGGGAAAAACCUUUCUUAUAUCCCAUCAGCUUCACUUACAUGAACAAACUCAUAUUGCAAAGAAAUUGUGCUGAUGAAAACAAUUAUCAAAGUCUUCUGUUAUCACUGUUCUUCUCAUCAACAAGUUGGAAGUAUACUGGAGAAAAAUUCUUUAAAUGUGAAAUGUGGUGAAUCAAUAUUUCUUGUCACCUUCAAACACAAAAAAAGGCUCACUCUGCUGAAUACUGUACUGGGGAUUGUACUGGAGUUUUGGUCUGGUGGCACUCUACCACUGAGACACAUGCUCAUUCUUUUUUUAUAUUUUUAAUUUUGAGACAGGGACUUGCUGAGUUCCUUAGGGUCUUCCUAAAAUGCUGAGGCUGGCCUCAAACUUGUGAUCCUUCAGCCUCAGCCUCCCGGUCUCUGGGAUUAAAGGCAUACAUCACCACAACUGUUUGAAUGUGAAAAAAUAUGUUGUCUUCAAAACCAUUUCACUCGCUGGAAAACAAACACUCUGAAUGGGGGCGAUUUGCUACAGUUUAUCAGCUUCAUGUUCCAGACCUAUUUUUCUUCUCUUUUAUGAAAAUACUCGUGGAGAGAAGCCCUGUGACUGUGAAAAAUGUGGGAAAUCUUUUAAUUUUUGCAGUUUAUUCUGAGUACUAGAAAGAUUAUUUUGGAAAGAUUCCUGCCAAAAUGAAUAAAUCCUAUGCAAGUAAGAAAUACAAAGGGUUCACUUGUUUUAGUUUUGUUCAGUUGUAUUAAAAACAAACAAACAAACAAAAAAAAAAACUUUAGAAAAUCCUGUGGAGGGCUGGGGAUGUGGCUCAAGUGGUAGCGCACUCGCCUGGCAUGCAUGCAACCCGGGUUCAAUCCUCAGCACCACAUACAAACAAAGAUGUUGUGUCCGCCGAAAACUAAAAAUAAAUAUUAAAAAAGAAAGAAAAUCC
Molecule: long non-coding RNA, 14799 nt
Filed under: Marmota monax (woodchuck)
Lineage: Eukaryota; Metazoa; Chordata; Mammalia; Rodentia; Sciuridae
Source: RNAcentral